UACGGAAGGUCCGGGCGUUAUCCGGAUUUAUUGGGUUUAAAGGGAGCGUAGGCCGGAGAUUAAGCGUGUUGUGAAAUGUAGACGCUCAACGUCUGCACUGCAGCGCGAACUGGUUUCCUUGAGUACGUAGGAAGUUGGCGGAAUUCGUGGUGUAGCGGUGAAAUGCGUAGAUAUUUGGAAGAACACCGAUGGCGAAGGCAGCUGACUGUAUCGUAACUGACGCUGAAGCUCGAAAGUGUGGGUAUCGAACAGG
This 253-nucleotide ribosomal RNA is filed under the name uncultured bacterium. RNAcentral describes it as "partial 16S ribosomal RNA". It matches the Rfam family "Bacterial small subunit ribosomal RNA", at positions 524 to 776 of the family's 1533-position model. The record is from RNAcentral.